UGANCUGGCAGGCUAGAGUGUGUCAGAGGGGGGUAGAAUUCCACGUGUAGCAGUGAAAUGCGUAGAGAUGUGGAGGAAUACCGAUGGCGAAGGCAGCCCCCUGGGAUAACACUGACGUUCAUGCUCGAAAGCGUGGGUAGCAANCAGGAUUAGAUACCCUGGUAGUCCACGCCCUAAACGAUGUCAAUUAGCUGUUGGGCAACUUGAUUGCUUAGUAGCGUAGCUAACGCGUGAAAUUGACCGCCUGGGGAGUACGGUCGCAAGAUUAAAACUCAAAGGAAUUGACGGGGACCCGCACAAGCGGUGGAUGAUGUGGAUUAAUUCGAUGCAACGCGAAGAACCUUACCUGGUCUUGACAUGUACGGAAUCUUCCAGAGACGGGAGAGUGCCUUCGGGAACCGUAACACAGGUGCUGCAUGGCUGUCGUCAGCUCGUGUCGUGAGAUGUUGGGUUAAGUCCCGCAACGAGCGCAACCCUUGUCAUUAGUUGCCAUCAUUCAGUUGGGCACUCUAAUGAGACUGCCGGUGACAAACCGGAGGAAGGUGGGGAUGACGUCAAGUCCUCAUGGCCCUUAUGACCAGGGCUUCACACGUCAUACAAUGGUCGGUACAGAGGGUAGCCAAGCCGCGAGGUGGAGCCAAUCCCAGAAAACCGAUCGUAGUCCGGAUUGCACUCUGCAACUCGAGUGCAUGAAGUCGGAAUCGCUAGUAAUCGCAGGUCAGCAUACUGCGGUGAAUACGUUCCCGGGUCUUGUACACACCGCCCGUCACACCAUGGAAGUGGGGGAUACCAGAAGUAGGUAGGCUAACCGCAAGGAGGCCGCUUACC
RNAcentral lists this ribosomal RNA (828 nucleotides) under uncultured bacterium. RNAcentral describes it as "bacterial SSU rRNA". It matches the Rfam family "Bacterial small subunit ribosomal RNA", at positions 629 to 1458 of the family's 1533-position model. The record is from RNAcentral.